UUAAAGGUGAACCGUACUUUUGAUAUGACAGGUGACAUAGAGCUAAAAUGGCAAUUGAGAUCUCAAAAUGUACGCACUAUACCUACGUCGUAAUGUGACAUCUCCAUACUUUGACAGAGCAACGUAACUCAGAUGUCACGUUUCUUUAACAAGGAAAUGUACACUGAAAUUGAUUUGACUCAACACGCGCCGCGUUGCGUUUUGCGAGUAUGUCGCCGCCCUAACAGUUGUAUUAUACAGUACAAACUUAUUUAUAUAAGAAUUAUUUACAAAGCGUACCUCAGUAUAGUCAGUAUUGCGUGAGGUAUUGAAACUUUGCCACUCAUUUUUUUAUUUUAUUUUACACAUUAAAAACCAACCAAUUUAUUACAUAAUAUCCUUAUUAUUACAUGAGUAAUUUGCUGUUUGAACACUUGAGGCCUCACGUUGAAUUUUAUUAAGAAAUUGUAAAAAAAGUCAUAAUAAUGUACAAUGUUUUUUUUUUUUUUUGAUGAAUGAUGUACAAAAGAAUACAUACUAAAGGUGAUCUAUAUAAUGUCAUUAUACAAUUUAGGAUCGAUUUUAAAAGUGAUAUUUAUGAAAACGGAUAAAACAAAACAAAUGGACCUUAAAAUCUUAAAAUAGGAGGAACAUAAUUUAUUUUCAUAAGUGGCCACAAUAAAUCUGGUCGCAAACAACGAGAUGAGCCAAAAGCAAAGAAAGCAUUUUUCAAUGCUGGUAAGGUGUGUUACUAUCCCGUCCAAAUGAUAAAAUACACUUUUGGAUGUCUAUUUAGUUUUCUUACAAGAGCCAGUUAAUGUAACAAAGUCCAAAAUCCAUUAGUGAUUUAAAAAAAGUAAAGAACAUUUCGAUUAAAAAAAAUAGUUUUUCGAAUAGGAACGCAGUUUCUUUAAUCUUCAUAAUGAAUAAUAGAUAUUGGAUACAUUAAACUGGUAGGCUUUUGUAAGAAAAGACACCAUGUAUAAAAUUGACCUUGACAGCUCCUGCUAACUUAAUUCCUAACUUCAUUUCUUCUUUUGUAAGUGAAGGUGGAGCAUUAAGAGUUGUUUGCCUCUUGCUACAACCGCAUGUGAUUGGCUGAAUUUAUAGUAUUCUUAUGCAACAAUGCAUUUUAGCGAAUAGUGAUACAGUAUCAGCCAAUCAGAGUUAUUGCGAUCGUAACAGCAUCACUAUAGCUAUCAAACUAUGGCGGUAGGUCUCCGUGUCAGCAUUUAGACGGCAUAAUAAUCAUGUUGCAUUUAUUUAAUGAUUUGCAAUUUCAAAGUCAGUUUUAUAAAAUGAAAUAGCAACACAAUUCAAGCGUACCACCAAAAACAAAUUUGAAUUAGGUAAGCGACAAGGUUUUCUUUAUUAAUAAUGUAGUUUUCAUAAUGAUUUACACAGUUAAAAGAUGCUAAGCGUAUUUUCUUGAAAAAAAAAAAAACUAAAUUGCAUGUUGUUCAAUUUAGCUUUUAAGCGAAAAUGGACUUUUCUAACGACUAACUACAACACUUUUUGUUGAUAUUUUUAAUUCUUUUAAUAAAAUGAUGAUUUCAAGUAUUCUGUCUUUUCAUUUAUUAAUUUUAAUUAGUGUCAUAAAAACACGUUAGUAAAGGUUUCGCAAAAUUUCUAGAGUGCUGUGAACUCAAGGCAUUAUAUGUAUGUAUACUCAGUUGUCUACCUUUACUGUACCUACUCCUAGUACGAGUUUAUACAUUAAUUAAUUAUUUCCGAAAAUAGAAAUUCGAUGUCGAGUUCCUCUAACAUCUAGAGCAAGCGCUCUUUGCAUAUAUUUGUUAAAUAAAAAUCGUUUGUACAGAAUGUACGAAAUAAAAACAAGUUUUUUUUUAAAUCAUGAUAUUAUUAUUACUUAUAAUAAAUAGAAAUUCAUGAAAACAGUUUUGACAUUUAGACACCACCUAAAUUCGUGCUAGGGGUCCAGAAACCCUCACAGCCUCUAGAACUUUAGCAUAACCUGUGCCACUUAUAAUUUGAUGUAACCUGUUAAGUAAUUAAAACAUAAUUUUUUAAUUAAAAAGACAAAAAAUCUUUGGCCAAUUGACGAAAGAAUUCUAUUCAAAUAUUAUUUAGGAUCACAAAGGGAAAUCAGCUGCAGUAAAAAUAAUGUUACGAAAAUUAAAAUACACAAUUUAAAAUACUUGCACCAAUCACAACAGAGCCUUAACAACUUUUAAAAAUUGAAUCUCGUCUAUGAAUUCUGUACAAUCUCAUCACAAAUAUCAUAAACUUCCGAAACGUUUGGAAUACACUGGUCAAUUUUGUCUUUGUGACAUUCUCUGAUAUGACAAGUCACAACACCCAAAUCCAACAUAGGUUGAAAUCAAUUGGCGCACACUUUGACUUUGCUAAGACUUAAGUUUCAAUUAAAACGAGACAGAUGUAUGCCAGCAGUAUAACGCUGUCUCGUUUUAACAAUGUCUUAAGCCUGGGCAAAGUCUAAGUGCGCUCUAUAGAUCUCAGCCUGAGUGUUAGCAGUUAGCACGCACUACGGUUAACCGUGUGUGGAUAAGAUUUUGAUUCAAACAAUAUUAAUAUGCGAGAACUCACUUGAGGUUUUUUGCCACGUUUGACUUAAAACGCCACUUACGAGUCAAUACAGUGUUUUUUUUAACUGGGACAGUUUGGGGAAAUCCAAAACCAUAGAAGAUACAGGGAAACUGUCUUGGGAACCGUUAAGUCCCAAGACAGUUUCUACAACCGGCAGGUUUUUGUGUAAACAAUUUCGAUAUAGUAAUUUUUUUGGUCAAACGUGAGUUUCUGAAACUGAGAUCCUUAUAUAAAAGUGAGUCGAUCAGCAUUAAAAAAAAUUGACAAUUGUAUUGAUUUUAAUGGAAAACUCACGCUUAGCCAAAAAUUGACUAUGCCAAAAUAGUUUUAGUUGUAGUUCGAGUGUAGGAGUGAGAGAGAACGAUUAACGCUGCCACUUUCGAUUCGUUUAUUGUAACAAAUUAUACAACUUUCUUAGAAAUUAACUGUUUUUUAAACAAAAUAAGUAUGCCCUUGACCGCAGUCACCCCAAAUAGGUGAUGAUGCAGCCUAAGGUGCAGCGCGCCUGCCUAAAAGGUACCUACUCACUCUUCUUCUGGAGUUAUCAAAGCCACCCGCGGCAAAAAACCGUAGUUAAUCCCGCCUAAGUUAGUAAAAAGUCAUUUAUCGUGUUAAUAUCAAAUUCACAACUUCGGACCAGCAAUUCGCGGCUUCGAAACUCAAGUGUCAUUUUUUUUUUCAAAAACAUACUACAUUUCUAUCAACGAUCGAUAGUAGUGACCGGCAAACAACUUGAAAAAAAAACACGAAAAGAAAGAGAGAAAAAAACAAGAGUCGACUGAGCAACCAAUCGCGUGCUACCGUGCGGUAGAAAUUCCCACGCGUUUCCUACAGUCCGCCAAAGAGACCUAAAAUUUACUAUAAUUUUUCCAAACUUAGAAUGGGAUGUACUUUCCGCCAUGUUGUGAUGUCUUAGCUGGAAAUAUUAUGUUUAGAUCAAAAUAUUAUUUGGUUGUGAAAUAUUUUCACUUGGAUUUCAAAGUAAGACAACUAUACAGAGUGGGGUAUCAUAUGAAAGUAAUUCUUACAGUUUUACUUUGUCUCAAUAGAAUAGAAUAGAUUUUUAGUCAAAUAGACUUUUACAAGUGCUUUUGAAUCGUCAAAUAAUUAAUUUGCCACUGGUUCGGAAUGCCGUUCCUUCUGUAGUACGGAACCCACGGUGCGCGAGUCUGACUCGCACUUGGUUAGUUUUUUUUAAACUAACAGCAUAACUAUUGUUACUAACAUUAUUCACGGUACCCGCACGCGGUGGCUUACCAUUAGACUUAAGAUUUUAUGUCUCACUCAACAUUAAAGAAUUCGAGCAUCGAAACAAUUCA
This is a long non-coding RNA of Maniola jurtina (meadow brown), 3866 nucleotides long. RefSeq lists it as uncharacterized. NCBI's taxonomy places the organism in Eukaryota, Metazoa, Arthropoda, Insecta, Lepidoptera, Nymphalidae. The transcript has 2 exons. The record is from RefSeq and is a predicted model, not a curated record.